Molecule: ribosomal RNA, 468 nt
Filed under: uncultured bacterium
Lineage: Bacteria
Description: partial 16S ribosomal RNA
Rfam family: Bacterial small subunit ribosomal RNA
Source: RNAcentral
GAUGAACGCUGGCGGCGUGCUUAACACAUGCCAGUCGAACGGAAAGGCCGAAGCUUGCUUCGGUACUCGAGUGGCGAACGGGUGAGUAACACGUGGGUGAUCUGCCCUGUACUUCGGGAUAAGCUUGGGAAACUGGGUCUAAUACCGGAUAUGACGAUCUCUUGGAUGGGGUUGUGGAAAGCUUUUGCGGUAUGGGAUGAGCUCGCGGCCUAUCAGCUUGUUGGUGGGGCAAUGGCCUACCAAGGCGUCGACGGGUAGCCGGCCUGAGAGGGUGUACGGCCACAUUGGGACUGAGAUACGGCCCAGACUCCUACGGGAGGCAGCAGUGGGGAAUAUUGCACAAUGGGCGCAAGCCUGAUGCAGCGACGCCGCGUGGGGGAUGACGGCCUUCGGGUUGUAAACUCCUUUCGCAAUCGACGAAGCCUUUUGGUGACGGUAGGUUGAGAAGAAGCACCGGCUAACUACGUG